UACGUAGGUGGCGAGCGUUGUCCGGAAUUACUGGGUGUAAAGGGCGUGUAGGCGGGAUUGCAAGUCAGAUGUGAAAUUCCAGGGCUUAACUCUGGAGCUGCAUCUGAAACUGUAAUUCUUGAGUGAUGGAGAGGAAAGUGGUAUUCCUAGUGUAGCGGUGAAAUGCGUAGAUAUUAGGAGGAACACCAGUGGCGAAGGCGACUUUCUGGACAUUAACUGACGCUGAGGCGCGAAAGCGUGGGGAGCAAACAGG
This 253-nucleotide ribosomal RNA is filed under the name uncultured bacterium. Its description in RNAcentral is "partial 16S ribosomal RNA". It matches the Rfam family "Bacterial small subunit ribosomal RNA", at positions 524 to 776 of the family's 1533-position model. The record is from RNAcentral.